UUACCUGCCUGUCAAGCGUCUUAAAGGUCUGAUCUGCACGGACGCGUCCAGCGUGCACCAUCGAGUGGGUUUGGCCGUCAUCUGCUGCUGAGUGGCGAAAGUGAAACGCCGUCUUCUGCGAACUGCAAUGAAGGCAACACCAGGCAUCUCGAAGGGAGACCGGUAUCCCGUCCAAAACAUCUGUGCCCAGUUCUUCACCUGCUGAAACCCGUCUUCCUCGUCCAACCCACAGACUUAGCGGGAGCGAGGCUUCCAGCUCUUCAUAAAUUUGGGCGAGCGUGCAUAAACACUCAGAUGGCACCUUGCUUGAAGCCGUUAUGUACAGUACUUCAUUAUUUAUGGCGUACAGCGUGUAACCUUCCAGAUGUUUUUUUUUUUUUUUAAGGUUCUGCCCAUCAACAUCCUUGCUUUACAUGUUUAUUUUCAUGUUAUACAUCUUUCGCUUGGCACUUUUAUUCAGUUUAAAUUAUUAUAAAGUCGAU
Non-coding RNA from Doryrhamphus excisus (bluestripe pipefish), 482 nucleotides. The record is from RefSeq and is a predicted model, not a curated record. NCBI's taxonomy places the organism in Eukaryota, Metazoa, Chordata, Actinopteri, Syngnathiformes, Syngnathidae.